Molecule: ribosomal RNA, 492 nt
Filed under: uncultured bacterium
Lineage: Bacteria
Description: partial 16S ribosomal RNA
Rfam family: Bacterial small subunit ribosomal RNA
Source: RNAcentral
AGUGAACGCUGGCGGUAGGCCUAACACAUGCAAGUCGAACGGCCGCACAGUAAGCGCUCGCUCUUACGGGUGGCGAGUGGCGGACGGGUGAGGAAUACAUCGGAAUCUACUUUUUCGUGGGGGAUAACGGAGGGACACUUACGCUAAUACCGCAUACGACCUACGGGUGAGAGCAGGGGAUCUUCGCACCUUGCGCGAUUGUAUGAGCCGAUGUCGGAUUAGCUAGUUGGCGGGGUAAAGGCCCACCAAGGCGACGAUCCGUAGCUGGUCUGAGAGGAUGAUCAGCCACACUGGAACUGAGACACGGUCCAGACUCCUACGGGAGGCAGCAGUGGGGAAUAUUGGACAAUGGGCGCAAGCCUGAUCCAGCCAUACCGCGUGGGUGAAGAAGGCCUUCGGAUUGUAAAGCCCUGUUGUUGGGAAAGAAAAGCAGCAGGUUAAUACCCCGCUGUUCUGACGGUACCCAAAGAAUAAGCACCGGCUAACUUCGUG